Molecule: long non-coding RNA, 171 nt
Organism: Sinocyclocheilus grahami
Lineage: Eukaryota; Metazoa; Chordata; Actinopteri; Cypriniformes; Cyprinidae
Exons: 4
Source: RefSeq, a predicted model, not a curated record
ACUUACGUGCAGGCGGCAAGGGAAAUCCGGGCUUCGGCUUCAUACCUCCUGGAUAAUGCGGCCGAUUACGGGCUCUUUCGGGAGCCUUCGUGAACAUCGGGCCCCCGGUGCUACGCUGCAAGGCACCUGGACGGGGCUACAGUGCCUGGUCACCCCGAGGGGCUUCCUGGC